This 459-nucleotide ribosomal RNA is filed under the name uncultured bacterium. Its description in RNAcentral is "partial 16S ribosomal RNA". It matches the Rfam family "Bacterial small subunit ribosomal RNA", at positions 338 to 795 of the family's 1533-position model. The record is from RNAcentral.
CCUACGGGGGGCAGCAGUGAGGAAUAUUGGUCAAUGGACGAGAGUCUGAACCAGCCAAGUAGCGUGAAGGAUGACUGCCCUAUGGGUUGUAAACUUCUUUUAUAAAGGAAUAAAACGAGGCACGUGUGCCUUUUUGCAUGUACUUUAUGAAUAAGGAUCGGCUAACUCCGUGCCAGCAGCCGCGGUAAUACGGAGGAUCCGAGCGUUAUCCGGAUUUAUUGGGUUUAAAGGGAGCGUAGGCGGAGGCACAAGUCAGCGGUAAAAUCGCGGGGCUCAACCCCGCUCCGCCGUUGAAACUGUGUCCCUUGAGUGCGCGAAGGGUAGGCGGAAUGCGUGGUGUAGCGGUGAAAUGCAUAGAUAUCACGCAGAACCCCGAUUGCGAAGGCAGCUUACUAAACUGUGACUGACAUUGAUGCUCGAAAGUGUGGGUAUCAAACAGGAUUAGAUACCCUGGUAGUC